This 2526-nucleotide long non-coding RNA is filed under the name Homo sapiens (human). Its description in RNAcentral is "HSALNT0120132". Lineage: Eukaryota; Metazoa; Chordata; Mammalia; Primates; Hominidae. The record is from RNAcentral.
CCCUCUGCUAUGAGAAGAGUGUUCCAGAGAGGGGCUGCUCCUCCAGCCUACAUCCUGGGAUGGAAAGAAAUGUGGAGCUCAGCAGAGCCCAAAGCAAGCCAGAGCUGACGAGAAAUGGUUGAUUCCAGGGCUGGGGUGGUGAAGGUAAAGAUGAGUCUGGAACAUUUUGCCUUGCAAGAAAGUUAAAAAGGUGCCCACAAAAAUGAUAGCAAUAUGUCAAUAGAACACAGAAGUCAACCUGAAAGGGUUCCCACUGGCCAAAUGUGGGGCAAUUUAAGCAUCAAAACAAAAGGAUUAGGCCAGGCAUGGUGGCUCAUGCCUGUAAUCCCAGCAUUUUGGGAGGCUGAGGCUGGCAGAUCACCUGAGGUCAGGAGUUCAAGACCAGCCUGGCCAACAUGGCGAAACCUCAUCUCUGCUAAAAUUACAAAAAGUAGCUGCACAUGGUGGCGCACGCCUGUAAUCCCUGCUACUAGGGAGGCUAAGACACAAGAAUCGCCUCAACCAAGGAGGCAGAGGUUGCAGUGAGCCAAGAUCUCACCACUGCACUCCAGCCUGGGCAACAGAGCAAGACACUGGCUCAAAAAAUAAAUAAAUAAAAAACAAAUUGAUUAAAAUUAAUUUAAUAAAAUAGUAAUCUAAGAGUGAAUUAUUUCAAAACAAAGAAAAAGAGAAAAAAAGAAAAUCCAUCCUUAAAAAUGGAUACAGACCAAUAAAGCUGAAAGGAAUGGACGCACUCUGGAUCUAAGCCUCCCUCACACCUCUUCUCCAGGCCACCUUGUCCAGGUCACAGUCUACACACUUGUAUGCACCGGCCCUGGGGAGUGGAAAGAAGCAUGCUUAUCAACCAGAAGUGUCUAAAAAAGAAAGACUUCUCAAGAGAACUUUUUCCAGUUAGAGGAGCCAAAAAUAAAUAAAUAAAUAUAGAAGACAUAAAAAUAGAGCAAUGGAGUAACAGAAUAAGAAGUGGUGAUAAGACCCAGUGACAGGAACAUGGAGUCCCAGACCUGCUGACAACAGAGCAGGGAGCUCAUAACAAAGAAACAGAAGACAGUUCUGCAAUUCCACAGCCCUUGAAACCACAGAGCAAGAAAAACAAUUACGCAGCAUGAGUUGCCAUCACUUUCUGUCUUGAAGCAUCACAGAUAUCAACCAUUGAUAUCGAUCGUGGAGUUCUUCCCUACUGCUCCUGGAUGCAUCCUCAGGAUCUUUCUCAACACUACAAUCUGCUGGCUUUUCAUCCAAGGCAAAGGACAUCUUCUCCACAUGUAUAAGAGUUUUAUAACAUUGAGGGUAGGAAGUGACCUCUAGUGCUGGGUCUCAAUUCAGCAUCCAUGUUGGUGACAGACCUAAACUAGGGACCUUUACAAUAAAAGAGUAGAGAACAUUUUGGUAUAUGUGCUGCCAAAGCAAGCAAGAGUAUAGAACAUUUUAGAGUUUUUCACCCAAGUAACUAUGCUAAUUUUAACAAUUACAGCAAACUGGUGCCUUAAAGGUUAAUUCCUUCCCAGCUAUAAAGAAUUCUUUCUCUAAGCAGUCCAUAAAACUUAAAUUUAACUAUGGAAUGCCAGAACAAGCAUGGUUAACUUUUACUAAAUCUACCUGUGGCACUGGGAGUUUUUAAUGGUCAUACUUAAACCAAAUGUCAAUCAAAAGCGUUUACACCUCCAUUUAAGAAUUAGCAGUUUAGAUUGUAAGGCUCCAAGGGAAAUAAAAUUCCACCAGUUUUCCCAUGAUCCCUAAAGUCACAGGAGGCGGGAACUUUUAGCUAAGAACAUGAGUAUCUUAGAGAAGUAGAAUGAGAAUGAUGCAGAAAAGUUUUAAAAGUUUUUAUAAUAAGGGAAGGGUAUAGCCCUGUUUCUCUCAAGCCCAGAUUUCUAGGCCUCAAAGCCCACACAUAUUUGUACAGCUUCUCUAGGACUACAGAAUCUCCUACAAAACAUUUAAUUUGGUGGCUUAAUAUGAAAAUCAUCCUUCAGCAUACAUUAAUCUAGGGUAGGGAUCUGCAAACUCUUUCUGUAAAGGGCCAGAUAGUAGAUUAUUUUCAGCUUUGCAGGCCAUACAGUCUGUCCAACAGCAACUCUGCUGUUGUAGAAGGAAAGCAGCCAUAUACAAUAUAUAAACAAGUGAACAUGGCUGUGUUCCAAUAAAACUUUAUUUACAACAAGCAGGCAUGGAGCUGGAUUUGGGCCACGGCCACAGUUUGCUGAACCCUGGUCAGUUUGCAGAGCAUCAAGCGCAGCUGAGUUGCAAACUGGUUUUCCAGAUGCAGCUGCCAACUUCCACCUCACCCAUGAUAUGAAACCUUUCCUUCUGGUGGUUCCUAACAUGCCUUUGUUUUAAAAUCCGAGGGGAUGUUCAUGUACUAAUGGAUACAUCACUGCCUCCUCUUAUUUACAAAGUAUUGUGGGGACUACUGGGAUUUAGCUUACUAGCAACCUCUCAGCAUAAGCAGAGCCAGGAGGCUCCACUGAAAAGACUCCUAAUGUACAAUUAAAAUGUCAUCACUGGAGAUGCUUUUUUGCACCC